RNAcentral lists this ribosomal RNA (253 nucleotides) under uncultured bacterium. Its description in RNAcentral is "partial 16S ribosomal RNA". It matches the Rfam family "Bacterial small subunit ribosomal RNA", at positions 524 to 776 of the family's 1533-position model. The record is from RNAcentral.
GACGAACUGUCCUAACGUUGUUCGGAAUCACUGGGCUUAAAGGGCGCGUAGGCGGUCCGACAAGUCGGGGGUGAAAUCCUGCAGCUUAACUGCAGAAGUGCCUUCGAUACUGUCGGUCUUGAGGGAGAUAGGGGUGUGCGGAACUUCCAGUGGAGCGGUGAAAUGCGUUGAUAUUGGAAGGAACGCCGGAGGCGAAAGCGGCGCACUGGAUCUCUUCUGACGCUGAUGCGCGAAAGCUAGGGGAGCAAACGGG